Lycium barbarum (goji berry) is the source of this 980-nucleotide long non-coding RNA. RefSeq lists it as uncharacterized. Lineage: Eukaryota; Viridiplantae; Streptophyta; Magnoliopsida; Solanales; Solanaceae. The record is from RefSeq and is a predicted model, not a curated record. The transcript is spliced from 3 exons.
GAUGUAGAACCCUUGGGGAACAUUUUAGCCGAACUUUUCCCUAAUAUAAGUAUGGGCAGAACGCAGUACUAAUGGAACUGUGAAUUCGGUUCUUGCAAUAUUAAUUAAGCAAAUAGACCAUCAAGUCUUUUUCACGUAGGAGAAUUGCAAGCAUACGUCUUUGGUCUUUGGGGUUCAAUUGAAGGAAGAAAAACAUUGUUUCCUACAAUAUUAUGGAAGCAGCAACGUGAAUGUUAGUAGCAGCAACAUGAUUUCCUUUUUAAGGAAGAAAAAUAUAUUGCAUUUCAAGAACAAUAUUCGGGUUUUGCUCACUGCUUCAACCUCGUUGUUUCGCUUUGUUGUGUUGUUAAAUCCGAUUUUCUUCAAGUGAAGUAAGGUGGAAAAAGAUCAUUUCUUGGAAUAUAAGGUUUAUCAUAUUAAUUGUGGAAGUUCUUGGCUGGACUGAGCUCUUGAACGACGUAAGGUACAGACGCACAGUUCGGUGAUCCCCCAGUUUAGGAUAUCCCCUUCAGCUGUUUGGAGUGCUCUUCUCAUUUCAGAGCAUACACUUUUGGUAUAUACUUUUGUUCGCUAUGCAUGUAUACAUUUGUUCCGGGGUACGGCGGGGCCCUGUCCCGCCAUAUGAUUCGUUUGGUCUGUUUAGAGGUCUGUAGACUUAUUUGUGGGUGUGUGUGCCUACUUCUGUACAGUUGUGUCCAUAUGAUCUCUUUCGUUAUGGCAGCCUUGUCGGCUCGCACAUGUAUAUGUUGUUUUGUUGGCCCUAUGUGGCCUUUGUUGGUAUUUGCUGUGUACAGGGUUAUUUUGGAUAGUCCGAAAAACAAAGGAAACUCUGCCGAAAUUUUCUUUGAAAAUCUUAUAAAUUUGAAACACCGCCUUGUCGGCUUCUGUUAUAUACCUGGAUGGGUUUGAUAUAAUCUGAGGCAGUGUUUGAUAUUUGUGUCGGUAUAAGUUAUCUGUUUGCCACUCGGAUUUGUGAUUGU